RNAcentral lists this ribosomal RNA (335 nucleotides) under Akamptogonus novarae. Its description in RNAcentral is "partial 28S ribosomal RNA". It matches the Rfam family "Eukaryotic large subunit ribosomal RNA", at positions 666 to 944 of the family's 3401-position model. The record is from RNAcentral. Lineage: Eukaryota; Metazoa; Arthropoda; Diplopoda; Polydesmida; Paradoxosomatidae.
CCAAGAAGUCUAACGUGUGGGCGAGUCUUCGGGGACCUUGUGAACCCUAUGAAGGCGCAAUAAAAGUGAAGGCUUCCGUGCGCUGCGCUUCGGCGCGGGGCGCGGCGGCUGCAGUGGGAUCCCCGGUCUAAGGGCCGGGGCGCACCACUGGCCCGUCCUACGACCGCUUCGCCGGUCGGGCGGAGCAAGAGCCCACGCGUUGGGACCCGAAAGAUGGUGAACUAUGCCUGGGCAGGACGAGGCCAGAGGAAACUCUGGUGGAAGUCCGCAGCGGUUCUGACGUGCAAAUCGAUCGUCGGACCUGGGUAUAGGGGCGAAAGACUAAUCGAACCAUC